GACGAACGCUGGCGGCGUGCUUAACACAUGCAAGUCGAACGGAAAGGCCCUGCUUUUGUGGGGUGCUCGAGUGGCGAACGGGUGAGUAACACGUGAGUAACCUGCCCUUGACUUUGGGAUAACUUCAGGAAACUGGGGCUAAUACCGGAUAGGAGCUCCUGCUGCAUGGUGGGGGUUGGAAAGUUUCGGCGGUUGGGGAUGGACUCGCGGCUUAUCAGCUUGUUGGUGGGGUAGUGGCUUACCAAGGCUUUGACGGGUAGCCGGCCUGAGAGGGUGACCGGCGACAAUGGGACUGAGGUACGGCCCAGACGCCUACGGGAGGCAGCAGUGGGGAAUAUUGCAGAAUGGGCGGAAGCCUGAUGCAGCAACGCCGCGUGCGGGAUGACGGCCUUCGGGUUGUAAACCGCUUUCGCCUGUGACGAAGCGUGAGUGACGGUAAUGGGUAAAGAAGCACCGGCUAACUACGUG
This 468-nucleotide ribosomal RNA is filed under the name uncultured bacterium. Its description in RNAcentral is "partial 16S ribosomal RNA". It matches the Rfam family "Bacterial small subunit ribosomal RNA", at positions 28 to 507 of the family's 1533-position model. The record is from RNAcentral.